CCUAAUACAUGCAAGUCGAACGCAUUGUGGUUGAAAUGAUAUGAAGAACUUGUUCAGUAUUUGAUUUUCAACAUUGCAAUGAGUGGCGAACGGGUGAGUAACACGUGGGAAACCUACCUCUUAGCAGGGGAUAACAUUUGGAAACAAAUGCUAAUACCGUAUAAUAAUUAAAACCGCAUGGUUUUAGUUUAAAAGAUGGUCUUGCUAUCACUAAGAGAUGGUCCCGCGGUGUAUUAGUUAGUUGGUGAGGUAAUGGCUCACCAAGGCAAUGAUACAUAGCUGAGUUGAGAGACUGACCGGCCACAAUGGGACUGAGACACGGCCCAUACUCCUACGGGAGGCAGCAGUAGGGAAUCUUCCACAAUGGACGAAAGUCUGAUGGAGCAACGCCGCGUGUGUGAUGAAGGGUUUCGGCUCGUAAAACACUGUUGUAAGAGAAGAAUGACAUUGAGAGUAACUGUUCAAUGUGUGACGGUAUCUUACCAGAAAGGAACGGCUAAAUACGUG
RNAcentral lists this ribosomal RNA (507 nucleotides) under uncultured bacterium. RNAcentral's name for it is "bacterial SSU rRNA". It matches the Rfam family "Bacterial small subunit ribosomal RNA", at positions 47 to 507 of the family's 1533-position model. The record is from RNAcentral.